RNAcentral lists this ribosomal RNA (474 nucleotides) under uncultured bacterium. Its description in RNAcentral is "bacterial SSU rRNA". It matches the Rfam family "Bacterial small subunit ribosomal RNA", at positions 265 to 722 of the family's 1533-position model. The record is from RNAcentral.
UACCCAAGGCUACGACGGGUAGCUGGUCUAAGAGGAUGGCCCAGCCACACUGGAACUGAGACACGGUCCAGACGUCCUACGGGAGGCAGCAGUGGGGGAAUCUUGCGCAAUGGGCGAAAGCCUGACGCAGCGACGCCGCGUGGGUGACGAAGGCCUUCGGGGUUGUAAAAGCCCCUGUGGGGUAGAACGAACUGGCAUCGGGGCUAAUAUCCCGGUGUCUUGACGGUACUGCCUUAGCAAGCAUCGGCUAACUCUGUGCCAGCAGCCGCGGUAAGACAGAGGAUGCGAACGUUGCUCGGAUUUACUGGGCGUAAAGCGCGUGUAGGCGGUCUCGUUAGUCGGGUGUGAAAGCCCCGGGCUCAACCCGGGAAGUGCACCCCGAUACUGCGAGACUGGGGUACUGAAGAGGAGAGCGGAAUUCCCGGUGUAGAGGUGAAAUUCGUAGAUAUCGGGAGGAACACCAGUGGCGAAGGG